AGUACUAAAAUGUUUUUAAAUUCAUGUAGAGCAGAAAUUUUGUUGCAGUUCUAAAUACGUUUGGUUUGGUUUGGUUGAUUGUUAAACGUUACAAACGUUAACCAACACUGACGGCUGCAGCAGAACACGGGCAGACGGCAACAACAACAUCAGCAACAGCAACAACAACGUCGCCGACGUCUGGCCUGCGUGUGCUUGUUCCUGUGUGUGUGUGCGUGUGAGAUUGGAAGACAAUGGCUGCAGCUGCGGAUCUGGUUGUUCCUACCCUUGCCAUUCGCUCUAGCGUGGCCGUUGAGCUAUGGUCGUCGGCCGGCGCCAAGCAGCCGUACGAGCACAAGUCCCACCUGCCCCGCGAGGAGACGAAGAGCUCCCGGUCGAUCUGUUUCAGCCCUGAUGGCCGGUACUUUGCAUACUCCAACGGACUAGAGGUAAAGGUUCUGGAGACACGUAAGGACCAAGCCAGCAGCUGGCCGGUGCAGUGCACACUGCCGCGACCCAAGGCCUUCUACCUCAAGUUUUCGCCGCGCGGCAGCUACCUGUGCACCUGGGAGCACUAUACUAUCACCAAGGACCGACCAGAAGGAUCCCCCAACCUGCUUGUCUAUGAGGUGGCAAGCGGCAACGAAGUGUUCUCAAUCGUUCAGAAGAACCAGACAGACUGGGAGCCUUCGUGGUCCUCCGACGAGUCCAUCUUCGCCAUGGUUGUCGGUGGCGAAGCCCUCUUCUACGAUCUGGGUGAGGGUACAAGCAAGGGAUUCACUUCUGCUUCGCGUAAGAUCGGCGGAAGCCGCGGAGGGAUGCUCUCAUUAGGCCCCGGAAACAGCCCACCGUUCUUGGCCUUUUACACGCCGGGAGCCAAAGGAGCCCCCUCCAUGUGCAAACUUUACAAGUAUCCGGCGCUGGGACAGAACCAGACCGUCGCCUGCAAGAGUUUCUUCCAGGCGGACCGCGUCGAAAUGUUGUGGAAUAAACGAGGAAGCGGGUUGCUCUUGCUAACCAGCACCGAGGUGGACAAGAGCGGCGCUUCCUACUAUGGCAACCAGGCUGUCCACUUCAUGGCAACCAAGGGUGAUACGUGCUCCGUGCCACUUUCCAAGGAGGGACCGGUGCAUUGCGUCAAGUGGAGUCCCAAAGCAAAUGAGUUUGUGGUCGUCUACGGGUUCAUGCCCUCCAAGGCAGCCCUCUACAAUCUCAAAUGCGAUGUGAUCUUUGACUUUGGCGAGGGACCGCGCAACUGCGCCUACUUCAACCCGUUCGGCAACCUCAUCGUGCUCGCCGGCUUCGGUAAUUUGCCAGGAGCCGUCGAGGUGUGGGAUGUGUCGAAGCGUGAGAAGCUGGCGAAUCUCAAGUGCGCUGACACCACAGUUUUUGAGUGGCAUCCAAACGGUGAAUGGUUUGUCACCGCCACUACAGCGCCCAGGCUCAGGAUUAGCAACGGCUUCAAGGUUUAUCAUUAUUCGGGAGCACUUCUCCACGAAACCAUGUGGCCGCAGGGUCAGGAGCUUCUGGGUAUCGAGUGGCAGCAGUUUCAGGACAAAACAUUCGCCGAGCCAAAGAUCACCAAGGCCAAGCAUGAGGGGAUCAAGUCGAGUCAACCGGAAGCCAGCAAGAAAGCCUACACGCCGCCCCAUCUCCGUUUGCUGAAGGAGGGAAAGAAUCCGGAUAAGUACCUGCCACAGCCAAGCAUCCCCGGACUCGCCCCGGCGACGGCAGGUGCUGGUGCAGGUAAUACGACGCGCAAGUUCUGGCACAGGCAGUACGACCUGGACAAUCCGAUCAUGCGACGGAGCGAGCAGGGCCAGUGCCAGCUGGUGGUGGCCGGGGGGCGAGAGGGUCAGAAUGCAAGUGGCGGCACCUCGACCAGCCGCCCCAACCGGCGCUAUCGGCCCUACCAGCAUAAGCGCUACUAGAUUCAGAUUCACGCUGCUAGUUAGCUAUUCAGCAACUCCUUCACUCCCACCUCACACAUUUUGUAUUAACAUGCCAUUAGGAUUAGGGAUUGACGCGGCCGUGGUGCUAACAGCAACAACAACAAGCGGAACCCCAAGAACAAGCCCAGGGGAGUCAGAAAGGAUGUCCACGCUGUGAAUGGCGGCGAUGCGG
Molecule: unclassified non-coding RNA, 2103 nt
Filed under: Drosophila ananassae
Lineage: Eukaryota; Metazoa; Arthropoda; Insecta; Diptera; Drosophilidae
Description: GF10931
Source: RNAcentral